GACGAACGCUGGCGGCGUGCCUAAUACAUGCAAGUCGAGCGGACGAAUCGAAAGCUUGCUUUUGAUUCGUUAGCGGCGGACGGGUGAGUAACACGUGGGCAACCUACCCUGUAGACGGGGAUAACACCGAGAAAUCGGUGCUAAUACCGGAUAACACGAAAUGUCGCAUGACGUUUCGUUGAAAGACGGCGCAAGCUGCCGCUACAGGAUGGGCCCGCGGCGCAUUAGCUAGUUGGUGAGGUAACGGCUCACCAAGGCGACGAUACGUAGCCGACCUGAGAGGGUGAUCGGCCACACUGGGACUGAGACACGGCCCAGACUCCUACGGGAGGCAGCAGUAGGGAAUCUUCCGCAAUGGACGAAAGUCUGACGGAGCAACGCCGCGUGAGCGAAGAAGGCCUUCGGGUCGUAAAGCUCUGUUGUUAGGGAAGAACAAGUAACGCAGUAACUGGCGUUACCGUGACGGUACCUAACGAGAAAGCCACGGCUAACUACGUG
Molecule: ribosomal RNA, 498 nt
Filed under: uncultured bacterium
Lineage: Bacteria
Description: partial 16S ribosomal RNA
Rfam family: Bacterial small subunit ribosomal RNA
Source: RNAcentral